UCUUCGCUCCUCUACCCCAUAAAAUUCCCUACAAAUGCAAAAAUUCGAGAUAGAAGAAGCCGUCCCUGAAAUUGCUGUCUAACAUUCACCGGAAACCUCUCCAUAAACAAGGAGAAACGAACGCACACGCAUUUUUGCUAAGAAGCCCGGGAUUAAGAUUAAGGAUAGAAGCUGAAAGAAAAAUUGAAAAAUGCUUCUCCGCGCGUCAAUCGAGGGGUGGAUGCGCCAAGCAGCGUGAGCCCAGCUCACAGCCACGCGUAAGACCAAGAGCUGCCCUGGGUCCUGCGCGCGGAGACCUCAGAGCCGAAGAGAGAAGUCCCCGCGACAGAAACGCUGCGGAUGCCAGGUCUUGAAAAUGCUAACUUCUGAGGCUAAGAAUUAUUUCAGAGACAAAAAGAAAAGACUGGUGAGGAGGCCUUCCGGUGCAAGGGCGCCCAUCCGCUAAUUUUGGGUGGGGAAGUGGGGAUUAUUCGUUUAAAUUCAAUCGCCAGCACCAAGUCGGACUGGCCGGGGAUGGAGAAGGGCAACCCCCACCUUUAGAAAAAUAAAAGAUCUCGAAGGCCC
RNAcentral lists this long non-coding RNA (564 nucleotides) under Pongo abelii (Sumatran orangutan). Its description in RNAcentral is "lincRNA". The record is from RNAcentral. Lineage: Eukaryota; Metazoa; Chordata; Mammalia; Primates; Hominidae.